RNAcentral lists this ribosomal RNA (781 nucleotides) under Escherichia coli. RNAcentral describes it as "partial 23S ribosomal RNA". It matches the Rfam family "Bacterial large subunit ribosomal RNA", at positions 419 to 1201 of the family's 2925-position model. The record is from RNAcentral. Lineage: Bacteria; Pseudomonadati; Pseudomonadota; Gammaproteobacteria; Enterobacterales; Enterobacteriaceae.
GGGACACGUGGUAUCCUGUCUGAAUAUGGGGGGACCAUCCUCCAAGGCUAAAUACUCCUGACUGACCGAUAGUGAACCAGUACCGUGAGGGAAAGGCGAAAAGAACCCCGGCGAGGGGAGUGAAAAAGAACCUGAAACCGUGUACGUACAAGCAGUGGGAGCACGCUUAGGCGUGUGACUGCGUACCUUUUGUAUAAUGGGUCAGCGACUUAUAUUCUGUAGCAAGGUUAACCGAAUAGGGGAGCCGAAGGGAAACCGAGUCUUAACUGGGCGUUAAGUUGCAGGGUAUAGACCCGAAACCCGGUGAUCUAGCCAUGGGCAGGUUGAAGGUUGGGUAACACUAACUGGAGGACCGAACCGACUAAUGUUGAAAAAUUAGCGGAUGACUUGUGGCUGGGGGUGAAAGGCCAAUCAAACCGGGAGAUAGCUGGUUCUCCCCGAAAGCUAUUUAGGUAGCGCCUCGUGAAUUCAUCUCCGGGGGUAGAGCACUGUUUCGGCAAGGGGGUCAUCCCGACUUACCAACCCGAUGCAAACUGCGAAUACCGGAGAAUGUUAUCACGGGAGACACACGGCGGGUGCUAACGUCCGUCGUGAAGAGGGAAACAACCCAGACCGCCAGCUAAGGUCCCAAAGUCAUGGUUAAGUGGGAAACGAUGUGGGAAGGCCCAGACAGCCAGGAUGUUGGCUUAGAAGCAGCCAUCAUUUAAAGAAAGCGUAAUAGCUCACUGGUCGAGUCGGCCUGCGCGGAAGAUGUAACGGGGCUAAACCAUGCACCGAAGCU